Molecule: transfer RNA, 72 nt
Filed under: Arthrobacter cupressi
Lineage: Bacteria; Bacillati; Actinomycetota; Actinomycetes; Micrococcales; Micrococcaceae
Also listed under: 1 other name
Description: tRNA-Gln
Rfam family: tRNA
About the family: Transfer RNA (tRNA) molecules are approximately 80 nucleotides in length.
Source: RNAcentral
UCCGCUCUGGUGUAACGGCAGCACCCCGGCCUUUGGAGCCGCGGAGUAUAGGUUCGAAUCCUAUGGGCGGAA